UCUCCGUAGGUGAACCUGCGGAGGGAUCAUUACAGAGUUCGCGCCCUCGCGGGUAGAUCUCCCACCCUGUGUUAUUGCUACCUUUGUUGCUUUGGCGGGCCGCCCUCGGCUACCGGCCCCGGCUGGUACGCGCCCGCCAGAGGACCCCAAACCCUGAACGUCAGUGUCGUCUGAGUACUAUACAAUAGUUAAACUUUCAACAACGGAUCUCUUGGUUCUG
This 220-nucleotide unclassified non-coding RNA is filed under the name plant metagenome. RNAcentral's name for it is "partial contains small subunit ribosomal RNA, internal transcribed spacer 1, and 5.8S ribosomal RNA". The record is from RNAcentral.